UACGAAGGGUGCAAGCGUUACUCGGAAUUACUGGGCGUAAAGCGUGCGUAGGUGGUUUGUUAAGUCUGUUGUGAAAGCCCCGGGCUCAACCUGGGAAUGGCAAUGGAUACUGGCAUGCUAGAGUGCGGUAGAGGGUAGUGGAAUUCCCGGUGUAGCGGUGAAAUGCGUAGAGAUCGGGAGGAACACCAGUGGCGAAGGCGGCUACCUGGACCAGCACUGACACUGAGGCACGAAAGCGUGGGGAGCAAACAGG
This 253-nucleotide ribosomal RNA is filed under the name uncultured bacterium. RNAcentral's name for it is "partial 16S ribosomal RNA". It matches the Rfam family "Bacterial small subunit ribosomal RNA", at positions 524 to 776 of the family's 1533-position model. The record is from RNAcentral.